This is a long non-coding RNA of Oncorhynchus tshawytscha (Chinook salmon), 966 nucleotides long. NCBI's taxonomy places the organism in Eukaryota, Metazoa, Chordata, Actinopteri, Salmoniformes, Salmonidae. The record is from Ensembl.
GACCCACCUGCCCUGAAUGACUGGUUGCCACUGAUCACUAGCAGCACCAUAUAACCAUGUAAAAUUCGGAGUAUGUGUAAAUGUACUUGGCGAAUAGGUCAUUAUCAAAAACGUCAUGAAGACAAUAUUCUAUUUUUUUGCUGGUGGGCAGCUUCAAACUACAUUUCAAUGGAAGCUAAUGUUGCUAGAUAUGGUAGAGAUGGCGGUGUCAGAAUACUUAAAAAGGGCUCAAUACGAGGAAAGAGACAGGUGAACCAAUAGCAGCAAAUGUCAGGCCCUGCUUUGAGGACCUAGGUGAUGGUGAAGGCAGAUGGAGAGGUGAUGUGGCAGGCUAAGGUGUAUGGCAGGGUUGGCAGAGUCAUGUUACCAUGUUGGAGCCCUGUUAUACGCAGUGGAGGAAGGCGACCCCAUGCGAGAAUCGGUCACAUGCACGAUGGAACGGAGCAGCUGGCUGAUGCUUGCACAUGUAAAAAAGAUACCAGCAGCCCCUGUAGCCAACAUCGAUUUCUUAUCUGCAAGGGCUAAGAAGAGGAGGAUGGACCAGGCAGGUUGUACAAUGGAGCAGGCAACAUCAUCUCUGUCUUGGCCUCCCAUUGUUAUAGACAUGAAGCUGAUGCCAAACAGUAUGCAGAGGUCAUGUCCCUUGAACAUGAGAACUUUGUGGUCCAUGGCAGUGGCCUUCAGCUGAUGCCAAUUAGUCAUACAUAGGUGCCACACCUGAUGGGUUCCCUCAUUGUUACUCCUGGUGCAGGAGUCUGUGAGAUUAAGGUAAGAACGUAUACCAUACUCAAGGUAUGGUAGUGAACCACACUUAAAUGGGCAAUCAGAAGAUGAAACUAUAAUAAAUAGUUAUCCAACCCACAAAAGUUUAACUAAGCUCAUGAGGCAUUUAUAAGUUGCAGUAUAUUCUUCAAUGAUCAAUGGUUACUAGGGUUGAGUAUUUCCCAGGCAUUUUACAAAUGUUCC